AAGCAAUUAUACAGCGAAACUGCGAAUGGCUCAUUAUAUAAGUUAUCGUUUAUUUGAUAGUACCUUACUACUUGGAUAACCGUGGUAAUUCUAGAGCUAAUACAUGCUAAAAAUCCCGACUUCGGAAGGGAUGUAUUUAUUAGAUUAAAAACCAAUGCCCUCUGGGCUCCUUGGUGAUUCAUAAUAACUUUUCGAAUCGCAUGGCCUUGCGCCGGCGAUGGUUCAUUCAAAUUUCUUCCCUAUCAACUUUCGAUGUUUGGGUAUUGGCCAAACAUGGUCGCAACGGGUAACGGAGGGUUAGGGCUCGACCCCGGAGAAGGAGCCUGAGAAACGGCUACUACAUCCAAGGAAGGCAGCAGGCGCGCAAAUUACCCAAUCCCGAUUCGGGGAGGUAGUGACAAUAAAUACUGAUACAGGGCUCUUUUGGGUCUUGUAAUUGGAAUGAGUACAAUUUAAAUCCCUUAACGAGGAACAAUUGGAGGGCAAGUCUGGUGCCAGCAGCCGCGGUAAUUCCAGCUCCAAUAGCGUAUAUUAAAGUUGUUGUGGUUAAAAAGCUCGUAGUUGAACCUUGGGCCUGGCUGGCCGGUCCGCCUCACGCGUGUACUGGUCCGGCCGGGCCUUUCCCUCUGUGGAACCUCAUGCCCUUCACUGGGUGUGGCGGGGAAACAGGACUUUUACUUUGAAAAAAUUAGAGUGCUCCAGGCAGGCCUAUGCUCGAAUACAUUAGCAUGGAAUAAUGAAAUAGGACGUGUGGUUCUAUUUUGUUGGUUUCUAGGACCGCCGUAAUGAUUAAUAGGGACAGUCGGGGGCAUCAGUAUUCAAUUGUCAGAGGUGAAAUUCUUGGAUUUAUUGAAGACUAACUACUGCGAAAGCAUUUGCCAAGGAUGUUUUCAUUAAUCAGGAACGAAAGUUAGGGGAUCGAAGACGAUCAGAUACCGUCGUAGUCUUAACCAUAAACUAUGCCGACUAGGGAUCGGACGAUGUUAUUUUUUGACGCGUUCGGCACCUUACGAGAAAUCAAAGUGCUUGGGCUCCAGGGGGAGUAUGGUCGCAAGGCUGAAACUUAAAGAAAUUGACGGAAGGGCACCACCAGGGGUGGAGCCUGCGGCUUAAUUUGACUCAACACGGGGAAACUCACCAGGUCCAGACACAAUGAGGAUUGACAGAUUGAGAGCUCUUUCUUGAUUUUGUGGGUGGUGGUGCAUGGCCGUUCUUAGUUGGUGGAGUGAUUUGUCUGCUUAAUUGGAUAACGAACGAGACCUUAACCUGCUAAAUAGCCCGUAUUGCUUUGGCAGUACGCC
This 1301-nucleotide ribosomal RNA is filed under the name Akanthomyces lecanii. RNAcentral's name for it is "partial 18S ribosomal RNA". It matches the Rfam family "Eukaryotic small subunit ribosomal RNA", at positions 67 to 1382 of the family's 1831-position model. Lineage: Eukaryota; Fungi; Ascomycota; Sordariomycetes; Hypocreales; Cordycipitaceae. The record is from RNAcentral.